UGAAAUAUAUAUUGGUACUUCAAUGAA
This 27-nucleotide small RNA is filed under the name Bombyx mori (domestic silkworm). RNAcentral's name for it is "ovarian small RNA-30555". Lineage: Eukaryota; Metazoa; Arthropoda; Insecta; Lepidoptera; Bombycidae. The record is from RNAcentral.